This is a non-coding RNA of Pelobates cultripes (western spadefoot toad), 107 nucleotides long. NCBI's taxonomy places the organism in Eukaryota, Metazoa, Chordata, Amphibia, Anura, Pelobatidae. The record is from the annotation of a GenBank genome assembly.
GUGUGUAUGUCUGUGUGUGUGUGUAUGUCAGUGCGUCUGUGUGUGUAUGUCAGUAUAUCUGUCAUAGACACACACAGACAUACUGACAUACAUACACAAACAGACAU